GGGACAGGAGCACCGACAAAUGCGCAGAUGCAGCACCGCCCGCGAAAUUGCUGAUGCUCCUCAGGCGUUGCCAAGUCAACCCGUGUCAGGCCAGUGUCCUGUUGGAACGCGCUACUAGAUAUGGCAUCUAACUCAUCUCCAGUUCCAGACCCAUCACGCUACACGAGUGAAUCGAAGAGGAGGAUGCUUUGGCCUUAAAGAUCUUUAUGAGAGAUUAUUUUAAAAAUUAAGCCAGUAUGAAGAGAAAAAUCUCCAAUUUCUUCAGAGGAAAGACAGAAAGAGUGAAAGAGGGAGUCAGAGGGAGAUUAGACGGAAGAGGAGACUAUGACCUGGAGGCUGAGAUUAGAGUGUUGUGGCCACAAGCCAAGGAAUGUCAAGGCCACCAGAAACUCCUGGAAGAAGAGAGGUAUGGAUUCUCCCCAGACUCUCACGGAAGCAUGACCCUCUGACAGCUCAUUUCAGACUUCUGGCUUCCAGAACUGCAAGCGAAUAAAUUUCUGUUGCUUUAAUCCCCCAAGUUUGUGGUACUUUGUUAGAGGAGCCCAAAGAAACGCAUGCGGGGAGAUACACUCACUUCCAGCUCUUUUUCCUCUGCUGUUUCCAGGAACAGAUCUGGCCGGAAGGGCUUCACUCCGUUGGAAUUCUCCACUCUGAAAAUCUUCUCUGAUGGGCUCUGCUUCCACAAGCCAAUAACUUCAUGACUUCUCCCUGAUAUCAAGGGACUCAUGGAAGACGGAAAUCCACAGAAAUUUGCUCAACUCAACAAGCAUGUGCUGAUUAGGGGAGGUUGCCAAAAUGAGCCAACUGUUGCCCAAAUGAGCCAACUGUUGCCCCUUGUGGCUUGAAGUGUUUCUUUUCUUAUCAGUAUCACCAGAUCCUCAGCACCUUACACAGGCUUAUGAGGAAAAAAAAAAUUUUUUUUCUAAGUGAGAAACUAGUAAAAAUUUCAUUCAUUACAGACC
Molecule: long non-coding RNA, 962 nt
Organism: Camelus dromedarius (Arabian camel)
Lineage: Eukaryota; Metazoa; Chordata; Mammalia; Artiodactyla; Camelidae
Exons: 4
Source: RefSeq, a predicted model, not a curated record